CCUACGGGAGGCAGCAGUGAGGAAUAUUGGUCAAUGGCCGGAAGGCUGAACCAGCCAUGCCGCGUGAAGGGCAGGGGCCUAGGGGCGGUAAACUUCUUUUGUGCGGGAGCAAUAAUGGUCACGUGUGGCCAGACGAGAGUACCGUACGAAUAAGCAUCGGCUAACUCCGUGGCAGCAGCCGCGGUAAUACGGGGGAUGCAAGCGUGAUCCGGAUUUAUUGGGUUUAAAGGGUGCGUAGGCUGUGAGGUAAGUCAGCGGUGAAAUGCCCCCGCUCAACGGGGUGAAGUGCCAUUGAUACUGGCUUGCUGGAAUGCGGGUGCCGUGGGAGGAAUGUGUGGUGUAGCGGUGAAAUGCAUAGAUAUCACACAGAACACCGAUUGCGAAGGCAUCUCACGAAUCCGCGAUUGACGCUGAUGCACGAAAGCGUGGGUAUCAAACAGGAUUAGAUACCCUAGUAGUC
RNAcentral lists this ribosomal RNA (460 nucleotides) under uncultured bacterium. Its description in RNAcentral is "partial 16S ribosomal RNA". It matches the Rfam family "Bacterial small subunit ribosomal RNA", at positions 338 to 795 of the family's 1533-position model. The record is from RNAcentral.